Molecule: ribosomal RNA, 625 nt
Filed under: Lentinus squarrosulus
Lineage: Eukaryota; Fungi; Basidiomycota; Agaricomycetes; Polyporales; Polyporaceae
Description: eukaryotic LSU rRNA
Rfam family: Eukaryotic large subunit ribosomal RNA
Source: RNAcentral
CUUUUAAUCCGUUUGGAAUUGAGCAUAUCAAUAAGCGGAGGAAAAGAAACUAACAAGGAUUCCCCUGGUAAAUGCGAGUGAAGCGGGAAAAGCUCAAAUUUAAAAUCCGGCGGUCUUUGGCCGUCCGAGUUGUAGUCUGGAGAAGUGCUUUCCGCGCUGGACCGUGUAUAAGUCUCUUGGAACAAAGCGUCAUAGAGGGUGAGAAUCCCGUCUUUGACACGGACGACCAGUGCUUUGUGAUGCGCUCUCAAGAGUCGAGUUGUUUGGGAAUGCAGCUCAAAAUGGGUGGUGAAUUCCAUCUAAAGCUAAAUAUUGGCGAGAGACCGAUAGCGAACAAGUACCGUGAGGGAAAGAUGAAAAGCACUUUGGAAAGAGAGUUAAACAGUACGUGAAAUUGCUGAAAGGGAAACGCUUGAAGUCAGUCGCGUCUGCCGGAACUCAGCCUUACUUUUGGUUGGUGCACCUUAUCGUUGACGGGCGAGAAUCGAUUUUGCCCGUAGGAUAAGGGCAGGAGAAAUGUGGCACCGAAGGGUGUGUAAUUGUCAUCAGUCCCGUCCUACGGUUGGGAUCGAGGACCGCAGCGCGCCCCAAGGCAGGGGUUCCACCUGACGUCGCGUCCGUCCAU